AUUAGAUACCCCACUAUGCCUAGCCAUAAACUUUAACUUACACCCAAAUCGCCAGGGAACUACGAGCAAUGCUUAAAACCCAAAGGACUUGACGGUGCCCCAUAUCCACCUAGAGGAGCCUGUCCUAUAAUCGAUAACCCUCGUUAAACCUCACCACUCCUUGCUUUACAGCCUGUAUACCUCCGUCGUCAGCUUACCACGUGAGCGUCCCCCAGUAAGCGAGAGGGCCUACACCAAAACGUCAGGUCAAGGUGCAGCUCAUGGAGCGGGAAGAGAUGGGCUACACUCUCUAACCUAGAAGACACGAAAGACUACACAUGAAACAUAGUCAGAAGGCGGAUUUAGUAGUAAAGGAGAACAAGAAUGCCUCCUUUAACAUGGCCCUGGGGUGUGUACACACCGCCCGUCACCCUCUUCGAAGCGAUAAAAACAGUAUUUAACACCAUUCAGCUACAAAGAAGAGGCAAGUCGUAACAUGGUAAGCUUACCGGAAGGUGUGCUUGGAAA
RNAcentral lists this ribosomal RNA (507 nucleotides) under Scinax imbegue. RNAcentral describes it as "partial 12S small subunit ribosomal RNA". It matches the Rfam family "Bacterial small subunit ribosomal RNA", at positions 777 to 1522 of the family's 1533-position model. The record is from RNAcentral. Lineage: Eukaryota; Metazoa; Chordata; Amphibia; Anura; Hylidae.